GUGAGUAACACGUGGAUAACCUGCCUCAAGGCUGGGGAUAACAUUUGGAAACAGAUGCUAAUACCGAAUAAAACUUAGUAUCGCAUGAUAUCAAGUUAAAAGGCGCUACGGCGUCACCUAGAGAUGGAUCCGCGGUGCAUUAGUUAGUUGGUGGGGUAAAGGCUUACCAAGACAAUGAUGCAUAGCCGAGUUGAGAGACUGAUCGGCCACAUUGGGACUGAGACACGGCCCAAACUCCUACGGGAGGCUGCAGUAGGGAAUCUUCCACAAUGGGCGCAAGCCUGAUGGAGCAACGCCGCGUGUGUGAUGAAGGCUUUCGGGUCGUAAAGCACUGUUGUAUGGGAAGAAAUGCUAAAAUAGGGAAUGAUUUUAGUUUGACGGUACCAUACCAGAAAGGGACGGCUAAAUACGUGCCAGCAGCCGCGGUAAUACGUAUGUCCCGAGCGUUAUCCGGAUUUAUUGGGCGUAAAGCGAGCGCAGACGGUUGAUUAAGUCUGAUGUGAAAGCCCGGAGCUCAACUCCGGAAUGGCAUUGGAAACUGGUUAACUUGAGUGUUGUAGAGGUAAGUGGAACUCCAUGUGUAGCGGUGGAAUGCGUAGAUAUAUGGAAGAACACCAGUGGCGAAGGCGGCUUACUGGACAACAACUGACGUUGAGGCUCGAAAGUGUGGGUAGCAAACAGGAUUAGAUACCCUGGUAGUCCACACCGUAAACGAUGAAUACUAGGUGUUAGGAGGUUUCCGCCUCUUAGUGCCGAAGCUAACGCAUUAAGUAUUCCGCCUGGGGAGUACGACCGCAAGGUUGAAACUCAAAGGAAUUGACGGGGACCCGCACAAGCGGUGGAGCAUGUGGUUUAAUUCGAAGCAACGCGAAGAACCUUACCAGGUCUUGACAUCCUUUGAAGCUUUUAGAGAUAGAAGUGUUCUCUUCGGAGACAAAGUGACAGGUGGUGCAUGGUCGUCGUCAGCUCGUGUCGUGAGAUGUUGGGUUAAGUCCCGCAACGAGCGCAACCCUUAUUGUUAGUUGCCAGCAUUCAGUUGGGCACUCUAGCGAGACUGCCGGUGACAAACCGGAGGAAGGCGGGGACGACGUCAGAUCAUCAUGCCCCUUAUGACCUGGGCUACACACGUGCUACAAUGGCGUAUACAACGAGUUGCCAACCUGCGAAGGUGAGCUAAUCUCUUAAAGUACGUCUCAGUUCGGACUGCAGUCUGCAACUCGACUGCACGAAGUCGGAAUCGCUAGUAAUCGCGGAUCAGCACGCCGCGGUGAAUACGUUCCCGGGUCUUGUACACACCGCCCGUCACACCAUGGGAGUUUGUAAUGCCCAAAGC
Molecule: ribosomal RNA, 1333 nt
Filed under: Leuconostoc citreum
Lineage: Bacteria; Bacillati; Bacillota; Bacilli; Lactobacillales; Lactobacillaceae
Description: bacterial SSU rRNA
Rfam family: Bacterial small subunit ribosomal RNA
Source: RNAcentral